Molecule: long non-coding RNA, 235 nt
Filed under: Pelobates cultripes (western spadefoot toad)
Lineage: Eukaryota; Metazoa; Chordata; Amphibia; Anura; Pelobatidae
Source: RNAcentral
GAUCAUUGCCCUGCAAUUUCACUGCUCAAUUCACUGUCAUUUAGGAGUUAAAUCACUUUGUUUCUGUUUAUGCAGCCCCAGCCACACCUCCCCUGGCUAUGAUUGACAGAACCUGCAUGAAAAAAAAAAAACUGGUUUCACUUUCAAACAGAUGUAAUUUACCUUAAAUAAUUGUAUCUCAAUCUCUAAAUUGAACUUUAAUCACAUACAGGAGGCUCUUGCAGGGUCUAGCAAG